This 468-nucleotide ribosomal RNA is filed under the name uncultured bacterium. Its description in RNAcentral is "partial 16S ribosomal RNA". It matches the Rfam family "Bacterial small subunit ribosomal RNA", at positions 28 to 523 of the family's 1533-position model. The record is from RNAcentral.
GAUGAACGCUGGCGGCGUGCCUAACACAUGCAAGUCGAGCGAUUCUCUUCGGAGAAGAGCGGCGGACGGGUGAGUAACGCGUGGGUAACCUGCCCUGUACACACGGAUAAAAUACCGAAAGGUAUGCUAAUACGAGAUAAUAUGCUUUUAUCGCAUGGUAGAAGUAUCAAAGCUUUUGCGGUACAGGAUGGACCCGCGUCUGAUUAAUUAGUUGGUAAGGUAACGGCUUACCAAGGCGACGAUCAGUAGCCGACCUGAGAGGGUGAUCGGCCACAGUGGAACGAGGAACCAGUCCAAACUCCUAGGGGAUGCAGCAGUGGGGAAUAUUGCACAAUGGGGGAAAGCCUGAUGCAGCAACGCCGCGUUAGCGAUGAAGGCCUUCGGGUCGUAAAGCUCUGUCCUCAAGGAAGAUAAUGACGGUACUUGAGGAGGAAGCCCCGGCUAACUACGUGCCAGCCGCCGCCGUAA